Molecule: ribosomal RNA, 265 nt
Filed under: uncultured bacterium
Lineage: Bacteria
Description: partial 16S ribosomal RNA
Rfam family: Bacterial small subunit ribosomal RNA
Source: RNAcentral
UACAGAGGGCAGCCAAGUCGUGAGGCGGAGCUAAUCCCUUAAAGCCAUUCUCAGUUCGGAUUGUAGGCUGAAACUCGCCUACAUGAGGCUGGAGUUACUAGUAAUCGCAGAUCAGAAUGCUGCGGUGAAUGCGUUCCCGGGUCUUGUACACACCGCCCGUCACACCACGGAAGUUGGGGGCGCCCGAAGCCACUUAGCUAACCCUUUUGGGAAGCGAGUGUCGAAGGUGAAAUCAAUAACUGGGGUGAAGUCGUAACAAGGUACC